Molecule: ribosomal RNA, 489 nt
Filed under: uncultured bacterium
Lineage: Bacteria
Description: partial 16S ribosomal RNA
Rfam family: Bacterial small subunit ribosomal RNA
Source: RNAcentral
GAUGAACGCUAGCGAUAGGCUUAACACAUGCAAGUCGAGGGGCAGCAUGGUCUUAGCUUGCUAAGACUGAUGGCGACCGGCGCACGGGUGCGUAACGCGUAUGCAACUUGCCUCACAGAGGGGGAUAACCCGUCGAAAGACGGACUAAUACCGCGUACACUUGGGAUAGGGCAUCCUGACCCAAGGAAAUGAAAUUCGCUGUGAGAUAGGCAUGCGUCCCAUUAGCUAGUUGGUGAGGUAACGGCUCACCAAGGCGACGAUGGGUAGGGGAACUGAGAGGGUGAACCCCCCCACUGGUACUGGGAACCGGCCCAGACCCCUGCGGGGGGCGGAAGGGAGGAAUAUUGGUCAAGGGGGGGGAGCCUAAACCCGCCAAUUCGCGGGAAGGAUGACUGUCUUUUGGAUUUUAACCUUCUUUUAUAGGGGAAAAACAAGGGUCCCUUGGGGCCCCCUGCAUGUACCGAAGGAAAAAGCAUCGGCAAACCCCGU